Molecule: small RNA, 105 nt
Filed under: Marmota monax (woodchuck)
Lineage: Eukaryota; Metazoa; Chordata; Mammalia; Rodentia; Sciuridae
Source: RNAcentral
GCCAGGCACAGUGGCACAUGCCUGUAAUCCCAGCAGCUUGGGAGGCUAAGGCAGGAGGAUUGCAAGUUCAAAGCCAGCCUCAGCAACAGUGAGAUCCUGUCUCUA